AUUGAACGCUGGCGGCAUGCUUUACACAUGCAAGUCGAACGGUAACAGGCCUUCGGGUGCUGACGAGUGGCGCACGGGUGAGUAAUGUAUCGGAACGUACCCAGAGGUGGGGGAUAACGCAGCGAAAGCUGUGCUAAUACCGCAUGUGAUCUGAGGAUGAAAGCGGGGGACCGAGCAGCAAUGUUUGGCCUCGCGCCUUUGGAGCGGCCGAUGUCGGAUUAGCUAGUUGGUGGGGUAAAGGCCUACCAAGGCGACGAUCCGUAGCUGGUCUGAGAGGACGACCAGCCACACUGGGACUGAGACACGGCCCAGACUCCUACGGGAGGCAGCAGUGGGGAAUUUUGGACAAUGGGCGCAAGCCUGAUCCAGCAAUGCCGCGUGCGGGAAGAAGGCCUUCGGGUUGUAAACCGCUUUUGGCAGGAACGAAACGGUGUCCGCUAAUACCGGGCGCUAAUGACGGUACCUGCAGAAUAAGCACCGGCUAACUACGUG
RNAcentral lists this ribosomal RNA (492 nucleotides) under uncultured bacterium. Its description in RNAcentral is "partial 16S ribosomal RNA". It matches the Rfam family "Bacterial small subunit ribosomal RNA", at positions 30 to 507 of the family's 1533-position model. The record is from RNAcentral.